GACGAACGCUGGCGGCGUGCUUAACACAUGCAAGUCGAACGGAAAGGCCCUGCUUGCAGGGUACUCGAGUGGCGAACGGGUGAGUAACACGUGGGUGAUCUGCCCUUCACUUCGGGAUAAGCCUGGGAAACUGGGUUUAAUACCGGAUAGGCGCCAUUGUGAGAGUGAUGGUUGGAAAGUUUUUUCGGUGUAGGAUGAGCUGGCGGCCUAUUAGCUUGUUGGUGGGGUAAUGGCCUACCAAGGCGGCGAGGGGUAGCGGGCCUGAGAGGGUGGACGGCCAUACUGGCACUGAGGCGAGGCAGAGGCUCGUACGAGAGGCAGCAGUGGGGAAUAUUGCACAAUGCGUGCAAGCUUGAUGCAGCGGGUCUGCGGGUGGUAUGGCGGCCUACGGGUUGUAGAAUGGUAGCGCGAUGGACGAUUGUUGUUGUGACGGUACCUAGAGAAGAAGCACCGGCUAACUACGUG
RNAcentral lists this ribosomal RNA (465 nucleotides) under uncultured bacterium. RNAcentral describes it as "partial 16S ribosomal RNA". It matches the Rfam family "Bacterial small subunit ribosomal RNA", at positions 28 to 507 of the family's 1533-position model. The record is from RNAcentral.